GAUGAACGCUAGCGACAGGCCUAACACAUGCAAGUCGAGGGGCAGCAUUAUUAAAGCUUGCUUAAUAGAUGGCGACCGGCGCACGGGUGCGUAACGCGUAUGCAACCUACCCAUUACAGGAGGAUAGCCCAGAGAAAUUUGGAUUAAUACUCCAUAGUAUUUACUGAAAGCAUUUUUAGUAUUUUAAAAGAUUCGUCUGGUAAUGGAUGGGCAUGCGUAUGAUUAGUUAGUUGGUGGGGUAACGGCCUACCAAGACGACGAUCAUUAGGGGUUCUGAGAGGAUAGUCCCCCACACUGGUACUGAGAUACGGACCAGACUCCUACGGGAGGCAGCAGUGAGGAAUAUUGGUCAAUGGGCGAGAGCCUGAACCAGCCAAGUCGCGUGCAGGACGACUGCCCUAUGGGUUGUAAACUGCUUUUAUAUAGGAAUAAUUGUUUUUACGUGUAAGAAUUUGAAUGUACUAUAUGAAUAAGCACCGGCUAACUCCGUGCCAGCAGCCGCGGUAAUACGGAGGGUGCAAGCGUUAUCCGGAUUUAUUGGGUUUAAAGGGUGCGUAGGCGGGUUCAUAAGUCAGUGGUGAAAGUCUGUCGCUUAACGAUAGAAUUGCCAUUGAAACUGUGGAUCUUGAAUACAGUAGAGGUAGGCGGAAUAUAUUGUGUAGCGGUGAAAUGCAUAGAUACGAUAUAGAACACCUAUUGCGAAGGCAGCUUACGAUGCUGUAAUUGACGCUGAUGCACGAAAGCGUGGGGAGCGAACAGG
This 760-nucleotide ribosomal RNA is filed under the name uncultured bacterium. Its description in RNAcentral is "bacterial SSU rRNA". It matches the Rfam family "Bacterial small subunit ribosomal RNA", at positions 28 to 776 of the family's 1533-position model. The record is from RNAcentral.